RNAcentral lists this ribosomal RNA (253 nucleotides) under uncultured bacterium. RNAcentral's name for it is "partial 16S ribosomal RNA". It matches the Rfam family "Bacterial small subunit ribosomal RNA", at positions 524 to 776 of the family's 1533-position model. The record is from RNAcentral.
UACAGAGGGGGCAAGCGUUGUUCGGAAUUACUGGGCGUAAAGGGCGCGUAGGCGGCCUGCUAAGUCGAACGUGAAAUCCCCGAGCUCAACUCGGGAACUGCGUCCGAUACUGGCGGGCUUGAAUCCGGGAGAGGGAUGCGGAAUUCCAGGUGUAGCGGUGAAAUGCGUAGAUAUCUGGAGGAACACCGGUGGCGAAGGCGGCAUCCUGGACCGGCAUUGACGCUGAGGCGCGAAAGCUAGGGGAGCAAACGGG